This 497-nucleotide ribosomal RNA is filed under the name uncultured bacterium. RNAcentral describes it as "partial 16S ribosomal RNA". It matches the Rfam family "Bacterial small subunit ribosomal RNA", at positions 28 to 507 of the family's 1533-position model. The record is from RNAcentral.
GAUGAACGCUGGCGGCGUGCCUAAUACAUGCAAGUCGAGCGAACAGACGAGGAGCUUGCUCCUCUGACGUUAGCGGCGGACGGGUGAGUAACACGUGGAUAACCUACCUAUAAUACUGGGAUAACUUCGGGAAACCGGAGCUAAUACCGGAUAAUAUAUUGAACCGCAUGGAUCAAUAGUGAAUGACGGUUUUGCUGUCACUUAUAGCUGGAUCCGAGCCGCCUUAGCUAGUUGGUAAGGUAACGGCUUACCAAGGAAACGAUGCGUAGCCGACCUGAGAGGGUGAUCCGCCACAAUGGAACUGAAAACCGGGCCAGGCUCCUACGGGGGGCCACAGUAGGGAAUCUUCCGCAAUGGGGGAAAGCCUGAAGGCGCCCAGCCGCGUGAGUGAUAGAGGUCUUCGGAGCGGAAAACUCUGUUAUUAGGGAAAAACAAGUGUGUAGGUAACUAUGCGCGUCUUGACGGUACCUAAUCAGAAAGCCACGGCUAACUACGUG